AUGUUGAUAUGGUUGGGGGCUAACGAUGCUCAUACUUCAAAUGUUGUUUUGAUCUUGGCUGUGGCGUUGAUUCUCUUGGCUAUACCAAAGCUCUUCUCUGGUGAACAAGAGGAAGAAGCUGAAGAAGAGAGUGGUUCCUCACCUUUUGUACUACCAAUAAUUGUAAUUCUGAUCCUGCUAUUGGUGUCAUGGUUGGGAAGUUCUAGAAAAAGGGUUUGUGUCAAGCCAACAUACUGUCGCUGCACCCAUGCCUGCUACUGUUACUGGUAG
Vicia faba (fava bean) is the source of this 270-nucleotide non-coding RNA. NCBI's taxonomy places the organism in Eukaryota, Viridiplantae, Streptophyta, Magnoliopsida, Fabales, Fabaceae. The record is from the annotation of a GenBank genome assembly.